UACGAAGGGUGCUAGCGUUGUUCGGAAUCACUGGGCGUAAAGCGCGCGUAGGCGGCUUUUCAAGUCAGGGGUGAAAUCCCACGGCUCAACCGUGGAAUUGCCUUUGAAACUGGGAAGCUAGAGUGUCGGAGGGGAUAGCGGAAUUGCUAAUGUAGAGGUGAAAUUCGUAGAUAUUAGCAGGAACACCGGUGGCGAAGGCGGCUAUCUGGACGACAACUGACGCUGAAGUGCGAAAGCGUGGGGAUCAAACAGG
This 253-nucleotide ribosomal RNA is filed under the name uncultured bacterium. Its description in RNAcentral is "partial 16S ribosomal RNA". It matches the Rfam family "Bacterial small subunit ribosomal RNA", at positions 524 to 776 of the family's 1533-position model. The record is from RNAcentral.